Molecule: long non-coding RNA, 459 nt
Organism: Nicotiana attenuata
Lineage: Eukaryota; Viridiplantae; Streptophyta; Magnoliopsida; Solanales; Solanaceae
Exons: 2
Source: RefSeq, a predicted model, not a curated record
CAAAACACAACCAUGAAACUCCUCAAAAUCCCACUUGAAACCAACGUGAAAAUCAGCCAACAGGCGGCUGAAAAUCAGCGGCAAAAUUGCUGAAAAAACCAGUCCAGCAACGUCGGGAAAGCACUUACAAAUUUGGUCUGUCGAGGACUUCCGUUCGCGGUUUCCGGAUGAGGUCCCAAAUUGAUUCGUGUUCCAAUUUUAUGGCUCUACACCAGCUACUUUGAGAUUUUGGAUGGUGACGUUGCAGUGUAUGGCGGAAGUUGGCAUUGAAGACGUACCUGUAUUCCGGUUGUAGCUGCCUCUUAUUCUUGGUAGCUUUAAAUUUAUUAAUUUGUUCAUGUACAUUUCGAACAGAUGAUGUAUUUACUUCGUACCGGCUUUCUAAACUCUAAGUCUUAGAAGCUCAUGAUUUGUACUUCUUGUCCUUAUAAAGUUCUAUAAAGUCUAGUUAUUUCAUCA